This 709-nucleotide long non-coding RNA is filed under the name Sinocyclocheilus anshuiensis. RNAcentral describes it as "lncRNA (ENSSANG00000049295.1)". The record is from RNAcentral. Lineage: Eukaryota; Metazoa; Chordata; Actinopteri; Cypriniformes; Cyprinidae.
GCCAGUGAGAGUACCAGGGACACCAGAAAUAUUUGAUCGGUCAUACAUACUGGAGAAAAUCACUGGUAAAAGCUUGUUUUACCAUCAUCAGUUUAUCACCACAUCCGUAAUGCUGUGAGCUUUUAUUUUAGAUGGUGUAAAAAUUCCAAACUGUGAUGAGGUGAAUCUACUGGAGUCAUCGAUUCAAAGAGCUACAGAUAUAGAGAAAAUUUUGCUUAGUCUUCCGGCAUCAUUUGAUAGGUUUCCAUUGUGGAUCUCUUAUAACAGCACCCCACAAGGUUGCAACUUUCAGAUUGAACAGAAGAAAACAUUUUCAGACAUGUUUGAGGAUGUCAAAGAGUACAGUCACUUGAUUGUCACACCACCCCUGCAACUGGCAAAUAUGGGAAUAGAGGGACCUCUGCUGGUGUAUCUCAGUGAAGAUAAUCUAGGUGUUUACUUGAACAAAAACAAGGCAGACCGGUAUGAGAUUAAGGUUUUCGACUGUCUUUCUGGAAAAGAGACCACAAAAAAUGUGAAUGAUCUGGCUAGAAUACUCAAUGAUACCAGAACUGACAACAUUGUUGAAGUCAGUAAAACCCCUAAAGAGGCAGUUGUGGUGCUCUUUGAUUCAAGUUCUUCAAUGAUGGAAGAAUGUUAUGACACCGCAAGUCAAAUGAAGCGCAUUGAUGCUGUCAAGCAAAUCUUUGACAGCUUUGCAAACCGAAGC